GUCUGUGGCCAUACCGCUCUGAAUGUGCUCAAUCUCAUCUGAUCUCAGAAGCUAAGCAGGGUCUGGCUUGGUUAGUACUUGGAUGGGAGAAUUAUGCUGAUUUUGAUA
RNAcentral lists this ribosomal RNA (108 nucleotides) under Fukomys damarensis (Damara mole-rat). The record is from RNAcentral. Lineage: Eukaryota; Metazoa; Chordata; Mammalia; Rodentia; Bathyergidae.